GGUACCAGCCCAUCGCACCUCAAGAUAUGUUGUAAAGUGCCUGGCUGUUCCUGUUAAGUCUGGAGAGUGUAAUCAUGCAUAGUAAACCCACAAAAUAAUAUAGGGAUCACCUGCCUCCUCUUUCCCAAAAGCUGGAGUGAGAGGAGAGAAAGGGUAUGGAAAGAGACAGAAAGACUCACUUGUAGACGGUCCCUCCGUUGCCAUGACCGAGGAUGUCCCGAUAUCGUAUGUCUUGUUCAUUCAUCUCCACGAGGAAGAAAGAAAAACAAAAGAGAUGUCAUGCCGUGGAUGGAAGUGUCAAGGAAAAGCAACUCUAGGCCAUAAACAACCAGCCGUCUGGGUCAUUUCAAGUUCAGCUGCAAGAACGAGGAGAUCAAUACAACAUUUGCUGUCCAAUUUAUAAAAGACAAUACCAAGGGACAAAGUGAUGGAAAGUUUAAUGACAA
Molecule: long non-coding RNA, 446 nt
Organism: Anolis sagrei ordinatus
Lineage: Eukaryota; Metazoa; Chordata; Lepidosauria; Squamata; Anolidae
Source: RefSeq, a predicted model, not a curated record